RNAcentral lists this ribosomal RNA (506 nucleotides) under uncultured bacterium. RNAcentral describes it as "partial 16S ribosomal RNA". It matches the Rfam family "Bacterial small subunit ribosomal RNA", at positions 29 to 523 of the family's 1533-position model. The record is from RNAcentral.
AGUGAACGCUGGCGGUAGGCCUAACACAUGCAAGUCGAACGGCAGCACAGGAGAGCUUGCUCUCUGGGUGGCGAGUGGCGGACGGGUGAGGAAUACAUCGGAAUCUACUCUGUCGUGGGGGAUAACGUAGGGAAACUUACGCUAAUACCGCAUACGACCUACGGGUGAAAGUAGGGGACCCUCGGGCCUUGCGCGAUUGCAUGAGCCGAUGUCGGAUUAGCUAGUUGGCGGGGUAAAGGCCCACCAAGGCGACGAUCCGUAGCUGGUCUGAGAGGAUGAUCAGCCACACUGGAACUGAGACACGGUCCAGACUCCUACGGGAGGCAGCAGUGGGGAAUAUUGGACAAUGGGCGCAAGCCUGAUCCAGCCAUACCGCGUGGGUGAAGAAGGCCUUCGGGUUGUAAAGCCCUUUUGUUGGGAAAGAAAUCCAGCUGGCUAAUACCCGGUUGGGAUGACGGUACCCAAAGAAUAAGCACCGGCUAACUUCGUGCCAGCCGCCGCAGUAA